UAUUGCACAAUGGGGGAAACCCUGAUGCAGCGACGCCGCGUGAGUGAAGAAGUAUUUCGGUACGUAAAGCUCUAUCAGCAGGGAAGAAAAAAAGUCCUUUGGACUUUGGACGGUACCUGACCAAGAAGCCCCGGCUAACUACGUGCCAGCAGCCGCGGUAAUACGUAGGGGGCAAGCGUUAUCCGGAUUUACUGGGUGUAAAGGGAGCGCAGGCGGCGUGGCAAGUCAGAUGUGAAAACCCGGGGCCCAACCCCGGGAGUGCAUUUGAAACUGCCAUGCUGGAGUGCCGGAGAGGUAAGCGGAAUUCCUAGUGUAGCGGUGAAAUGCGUAGAUAUUAGGAGGAACACCAGUGGCGGAGGCGGCUUACUGGACGGUAACUGACGCUGAGGCUCGAAAGUGUGGGGAGCA
Molecule: ribosomal RNA, 408 nt
Filed under: uncultured bacterium
Lineage: Bacteria
Description: bacterial SSU rRNA
Rfam family: Bacterial small subunit ribosomal RNA
Source: RNAcentral